AUUGAACGCUGGCGGAAUGCUUUACACAUGCAAGUCGAACGGCAGCACGGGGGCAACCCUGGUGGCGAGUGGCGAACGGGUGAGUAAUACAUCGGAACGUGCCCAGUCGUGGGGGAUAACGUAGCGAAAGUUACGCUAAUACCGCAUACGAUCUAUGGGUGAAAGCGGGGGACCGUAAGGCCUCGCGCGAUUGGAGCGGCCCAUGUCAGAUUAGGUAGUUGGUGGGGUAAAGGCCCACCAAGCCGACGAUCUGUAGCUGGUCUGAGAGGACGACCAGCCACACUGGGACUGAGACACGGCCCAGACUCCUACGGGAGGCAGCAGUGGGGAAUUUUGGACAAUGGGCGCAAGCCUGAUCCGGCCAUUCCGCGUGCAGGACGAAGGCCUUCGGGUUGUAAACUGCUUUUGUACGGAACGAAAAGGUCCUGGUUAAUACCCGGGGCUCAUGACGGUACCGUAAGAAUAAGCACCGGCUAACUACGUGCCAGCAGCCGCGGUAA
Molecule: ribosomal RNA, 500 nt
Filed under: uncultured bacterium
Lineage: Bacteria
Description: partial 16S ribosomal RNA
Rfam family: Bacterial small subunit ribosomal RNA
Source: RNAcentral